Long non-coding RNA from Acanthopagrus latus (yellowfin seabream), 4393 nucleotides. RefSeq lists it as uncharacterized. The record is from RefSeq and is a predicted model, not a curated record. NCBI's taxonomy places the organism in Eukaryota, Metazoa, Chordata, Actinopteri, Spariformes, Sparidae. The transcript has 2 exons.
GUAGAAAUUCUGAAAUAAAAGUCAAUAAUAUGAGACUAAUGUCAAUAAGCUCAUAAUAACUAAUAAUCAUGUCUUAUCAUAGAAAUACAUCAUCAAGGCUUAGUUUUCAUAUUUAUUUUUAAAAGUUUUCAAAACUAUGGAGCCCUGGAGGUGACAUGGAUCCUAUUUGUUUUUUUUUUUUUGUUUUUGUUUUUUUAAACUUGCGCAUGCGAGAUAGUAAGUUGGGCGCCGGAGGUAGUAAUUCAUGCACCUUUUGACGUAAUUAAACAGUCGCAGUCGGUCAAAUGCAGGCUUAUUAUCAUGGAUGAGACCAUCUCAUAAAUUUAAUUGAUUAAUUAGUCAAUAGAAGUUAAUAAAGAGUGUUAUUAUUGUUACUGUGUAACGGUAAGAGGUACAUGGAAUAGGUAUUGUGAUGAUCCGCGAUAAGCGUCCAGGUGUAGGUUUUAUUAGCUAUUAUGCUGGCCAUGAUGAUGGAGGAGUUGUCUAGGUAAUAUUAGUUUUUGUUGAUUUAUGAAAUAACGCUGCAGCAGUGACAGCUGGCAAUCAGGACAAACGAUUAACAAUGGAUGCAGGUGCACAUAGUAUCAUAUUCAUGUGAAAGUUGUGACAGAAAUCCAAAUUUACUAAAAUACCUUCAAUUUUCCACAGUAUUCUCACACAGACCACAUUCUCUUGGUUUUCAUGGUGACACUAAACAUGUUUGUUGUGUUCUGUUAAAUAUACAACAGAUAUGGCUAUGGCUCUUUAUACCACAAGGGGCGCUGUCAUAUAAAGUAACCUAAUUAAUGCUAGUUGUGUCCAACCUUAAACUACAUGUGGCAAGAACUGUCUACCUGUGUGUAGCCCCUCAUAUUUUAGUUGUUAUCAUAUUACCAAAGGGAAAAUGGACCUGGAGUCAAUUUUCAUCAUUUUUCUUUUCUGUACUUCUUCAUGUGCAGGUUUGUGUGAUGGUAACUUGAAUUGUCCAGCACAGGAAAAAGAUGGUCCCAACCACAUGUUCAGUGUUGUUUUGUAAGCAUGUACUUUCACUUCACAACACUAGAGUUAAGAAGCACAGGCUCUUCUUAAACAGGAGCAAGUAAGGAAUCAUUUUGACAUAUUAUUCAGGAAGUUAAAAAUCAUGUUUUACUAUCAUGUUUUUCAAUGUAUUACUUAGGUGCUUUAUAUUGGUCAUUUUCCAGUUUGUUUUUGUUAACAAAUCUCUGGUUGAAUCCAAAACAAGAUCAAGUUUCAAGAGGGUCUCUCAAUUUAAGAAUUUAAUACCUGGUUAAUGUUUCUGGUUAAAGUGUCUUUUGUAUUUGAUCUUCAGCUGACCAAAGAAUAUCUGGACACAAUCUCCAAGGUGUCUCAUGGGUGAGAAGCAACCAUGAGUUUCAGUGGGGCAUGAAUCAAUAAGACAGUUGGGAUGAAUAUUUACCAUCAAAACAAUCCAUACAUGGAAUCAGUUCAGAGGGAUCUGAUAAACUGAGUUCAAGAUUCAACUUGUGAAACAGAAGAAACGAAAGUCAUGGAUGAUUGAUAAAAGAAGGCAAUUGCCCAGUACUUCUGUGCUAUCAUUAUCAAAAUAAUGAUAGCACAGACGGCUAAAACUCUGGCCAGGGAAAUGUCUCAGUAAUGGAGCUGAAAAAAAGAGAUGGCGCCAGAGUUUACAGUAAAAGGCACUCUUGUCUGUACUGCCCCAUGCAGUGCCAUUAAAUGGCUAGGCCUUUAAUUCACAAACAGAAGCAAAAGCAAUCAUGUUUCCUUUAAAGUCAAAGGAAAGGAAAAUUGCAUUUUGACCUAAUUAGAAACAAAGGGAACCAUGCUCAUAAUACUGAGGUCCAAAAACCUGGCAGUGGAACGCUGGAGAAAGCAAACUGGGAAACCUGUUAAAGCAAGUGACAACAUGCCCUGCAUAAACUGUGAGGCUCCUCUUUUUAUGGAGGCACAUGUUCAGGUACAAGCUCUCUCAAAAAUGCAGCUCAACAAAACCAGGCAAAAGUUGGAUCCAGUCGCUCUGUUCCUUUGCACAACCCGUCCCAGAUGGUGUUAGCAGAAUAGUUUGGGAACUUGAAAAUAUGAUCCACAGAUAUCAUUAAAGGGGAGAACAUUAUUCUGAGAAUGGAGGACAUUUGUAUUCAAAACAUGGAUGUGACAAGACUAAACACAAGUACAUAGGACAAAAAUGUGAGUAAUUGGGAGACUAAUUCAGCAGUCACAGAAAGCUGGCAAACUGAAACAAAUUGAGGACUUCUAAGUACCUGUGUCCAGCACAUUGAAAUAAGAGGGAAAAGAAACAAGAAAGUUCCUGUCCUUCUGACACCAGACACGCUCUCCUCAAUGGAAACCUUGGUUGCACAUUAAUAGGCCUAUGGUGUGCCAGAUGAAUAUCUCUUUUUCUUCUCCAGAUCUAAGGCAGAGACUCAUCUACAGGGAUCAGACGCCAUCAGACAGAUACAAGGGAAUGCAGGGCCAAGCGUCCUGAAACUCUGUCCUCAACCAAGUUGAGGAAGCAGAGCAAGUGUCAGAGGCUUUAAACAGCGAUCACUCAGAGUCAGAGGCAGAAAAGCACUCAUCUUUCCACUCUUCCUUAUCGGGCAGGUGACAAGUUUAACUGUUCUUACCUUCAACAAAAACCAUCGCCAUAACCUGGAGGCUUAGUGAGCUUCGUGUCUGCAGCCGCACCAAAUCGAUUGAAACUGAUGUGAAUCUGAACUGUUCAAUAGGCCUAAGCAAUCACAUUUGUUUGAGAAUAGGGUGUCAUUAACAUACAUUUCUAUUAAUAAAACAAGUGUGAAUGUCAAUUCAAAAUGUUGAAAUGCUGAGGUAUCUGGUGGUUUAACAAAUAUUGUAUCACAGUCUCUGUGGUUACUAGCUUUUUAUUCUGUCUAGGCAGGUCCCCAGCUAGCAGGGAAUGUUCCCACAACAUUGGCUAACAUUCCCUACAAGUUCUUAUUAUGUUUUUAAAAAAAAUGUUUUUAUCCAAUGUUCAGAGAACAUUUUAAGGAUGUUUAUCAUUUCAAAUAAUGUUCCUAUAGCGUUAAAUGUUAAGAAGGGAAGAAUGUUUUAGGUGCCACAUUCUGAAGAUGUUUUGGUGAUGUUGUUGAAGUAACAGAUUAUAGAAUGUUCUUCAGUAAAACAUUCCCAUAAUGUUACAAAAUAGCAAAGGAAGAACAUUCUUAAGGCAACAUUUAGAAAAUGUUUUUGGCAUGUUUUUAAGGCCUCUGAUUACAGAACCGUUUUUAUAAAACUUUCCUACAAUGUUAUAUGAUAACAUAGGAAGAACAUUGUCAUGGCAACAUGCAGAAAAUGUUUUCAGAAUAUUAUUAAGGCAUACAAUCCCAAAACAUUUUUCUAAAACGUUCCUGUAAUGUGAUAUGUUAACAAAGGAAGGAAGUUUUAGCUGUAAUGUUCUCGGGACGUUUUGGGGAUAUGGGGUGUAACAUAUUAUAGACUGUCCUUCUAUAAAACAUUACAAGAAUGUUAUAGGAAAACAAAGGAAGAACAUUCCGAAAGCUUCAGUUUGAAAAUGUUUUCAGGAUGUUAUUAGGGCCUCAGAUUAUAUCAUGUUUGUUAUAAAAUUUUUCAACAAUGUUAUAUGAUAACAAAGGAAAAGCAUUCUUUAAGCAACACUUGGAAAAUGUUGUCGGGAUGUUCUGAAGGCCUCAGUUCACAAAACAUUCUUCAUAGAACAUUCCUGUAAUGUGAUACGUUAACAAAGGUGGAACACUUUUUCUGUGACAUUCUGAGAAUGUUUUGUUGAUGUUGCUGAGCUAGCAUAUAUAGAAUGUUCUUCUUUAAAGUCCGUGUAAAGCAGAAAUAAAUUUGUGUUAUGAGUUUGUCAUACCACAGAAACAUGUGUCAUUUACCACUGAGCCAAAUUUGAAAGAUUAAGAAAAUUGCCAAGUAUAUAAAAUUAGGUCUCAAAAUCAUGGAAAAACAAUCACUACUCUCUGCUGUGAAACGCUGGGGGCGUGUCAGACAGAGGCGCUGGAGCCACGCCCACACACAGGAGGGGAGCCUCCGUGUACUGUACAAGGAUGUGACGUAAAGUAACAAUGUCAGCUAGCAGCAUCAUCGGAUGGACCCAGCCCAACCUGUUUGAGCCAUCAGAGCUAGAGACUGCCUCUGAGUCAGACACUGAUAGUGCUCGGCCUUGUCCCUCACAGUCCAUGUUUUACAUUACACACAAAUGUAAAACCCCAGUCUACAUACAAUUCCUUGUCAUAGCUAUAUUGGUGCACAUGAAAUAUUACCUGUGGAUUAUCAUUGUGCUGUCAGAUGGGCAUGACAGGGUGCACGGUGUAAAAUCACUUUCAGGAUUUGCACCUUCAGCAAAAUGCAUUCAAUUGCCAAAAUGUAAAAUACGUAUAACAUACAUACGCUCAGACUUACACUUGGAGCUUAGAUGUGG